GCGGGUGAAAAGCCCGCUCGCCGGAAGACCAAGGGUUCCUGUCCAACGUUAAUCGGGGCAGGGUGAGUCGACCCCUAAGGCGAGGCCGAAAGGCGUAGUCGAUGGGAAACGGGUUAAUAUUCCCGUACUUGGUGUUACUGCGAAGGGGGGACGGAGAAGGCUAUGUUGGCCGGGCGACGGUUGUCCCGGUUUAAGCGUGUAGGUGUGUGUUCCAGGUAAAUCCGGUUCACUUUAACACUGAGGCGUGAUGACGAGGCACUACGGUGCUGAAGCAACAAAUGCCCUGCUUCCAGGAAAAGCCUCUAAGCAUCAGGUAACAUCAAAUCGUACCCCAAACCGACACAGGUGGUCAGGUAGAGAAUACCAAGGCGCUUGAGAGAACUCGGGUGAAGGAACUAGGCAAAAUGGUGCCGUAACUUCGGGAGAAGGCACGCUGACACGUAGGUGAAGUGAUUUACUCACGGAGCUGAAGUCAGUCGAAGAUACCAGCUGGCUGCAACUGUUUAUUAAAAACACAGCACUGUGCAAACACGAAAGUGGACGUAUACGGUGUGACGCCUGCCCGGUGCCGGAAGGUUAAUUGAUGGGGUCAGCGCAAGCGAAGCUCCUGAUCGAAGCCCCGGUAAACGGCGGCCGUAACUAUAACGGUCCUAAGGUAGCGAAAUUCCUUGUCGGGUAAGUUCCGACCUGCACGAAUGGCGUAAUGAUGGCCAGGCUGUCUCCACCCGAGACUCAGUGAAAUUGAACUCGCUGUGAAGAUGCAGUGUACCCGCGGCAAGACGGAAAGACCCCGUGAACCUUUACUAUAGCUUGACACUGAACAUUGAGCCUUGAUGUGUAGGAUAGGUGGGAGGCUUUGAAGUGUGGACGCCAGUCUGCAUGGAGCCGACCUUGAAAUACCACCCUUUAAUGUUUGAUGUUCUAACGUGGACCCGUAAUCCGGGUUGCGGACAGUGUCUGGUGGGUAGUUUGACUGGGGCGGUCUCCUCCUAAAGAGUAACGGAGGAGCACGAAGGUUGGCUAAUCCUGGUCGGACAUCAGGAGGUUAGUGCAAUGGCAUAAGCCAGCUUGACUGCGAGCGUGACGGCGCGAGCAGGUGCGAAAGCAGGUCAUAGUGAUCCGGUGGUUCUGAAUGGAAGGGCCAUCGCUCAACGGAUAAAAGGUACUCCGGGGAUAACAGGCUGAUACCGCCCAAGAGUUCAUAUCGACGGCGGUGUUUGGCACCUCGAUGUCGGCUCAUCACAUCCUGGGGCUGAAGUAGGUCCCAAGGGUAUGGCUGUUCGCCAUUUAAAGUGGUACGCGAGCUGGGUUUAGAACGUCGUGAGACAGUUCGGUCCCUAUCUGCCGUGGGCGCUGGAGAACUGAGGGGGGCUGCUCCUAGUACGAGAGGACCGGAGUGGACGCAUCACUGGUGUUCGGGUUGUCAUGCCAAUGGCACUGCCCGGUAGCUAAAUGCGGAAGAGAUAAGUGCUGAAAGCAUCUAAGCACGAAACUUGCCCCGAGAUGAGUUCUCCCUGAGACUU
RNAcentral lists this ribosomal RNA (1523 nucleotides) under Salmonella enterica. Its description in RNAcentral is "bacterial LSU rRNA". It matches the Rfam family "Bacterial large subunit ribosomal RNA", at positions 1317 to 2823 of the family's 2925-position model. The record is from RNAcentral. Lineage: Bacteria; Pseudomonadati; Pseudomonadota; Gammaproteobacteria; Enterobacterales; Enterobacteriaceae. RNAcentral also lists the same sequence under 1 other name.